CCCUGACGGCAACACCGCGAAGCCAGGGCAGGGGAACACACACCCCACAGCACCUCGGACCCCAAAGGGGUUUGGGGCCACGUUCUGUGCUGGGACGUGGGGCACACGAAGCGGGGGCAGCCCCCACGGGCAGACCCAGCAGGGAGGUGCUGCCCAGACAGGGGGGGCUGGCACCCUGCCCCCGGCAUUAUCGGCAUUCCUCAGCUAUCGGACGCGGGUCCCGUGCUGCCUGGCAUUCCUUCCCGUGGCCCAGGGGGAGAGCGGAGAACGGCGGAGGAGAAGCGGCGGCGAGGAGGAGGCCCCCGGGGAGCCGCAGCGAGCUCGGGGCAGGAGCUGAGGGCGGCAGCGGCUCCGCUCGCCUCGCUGCGAGGACGCGGACGGCGUGGGGAUCAGCCUGUUCCCAAGCGCCUGGCACGGCCCCCGGCCACGGAUGUUUCCAUCAUCAGACGGAGCCGUUCCUCCGUUCCUACGCCGCUUUCCAAGCCUCGCCUCGCUCCCUGGCUCCGCAGCCAGGACCCAGCACUGCAGCCACGAGAACGCAGAGGGUGCAGCUCCGGCUCAGCCACCGCCUUGCUUGGUGUCUGCAGAAGCCUGGGCCCGGGCGGGUUUCCAGCAGAGGUCAGAAAUUUGGGACACCUGGAAGGGGCUCCCCGAGUCGGUAAGGGAACCGGGUGUUAAGACCCGGCCCCUUAAGCCCCCCAAAUUGCUCGUUUUGUGCAAAACACCAACCUUCACACACAAACCACCUGCUAUGACACAAAUCGGUCCCCGCAAAAUAAAAUCACCGAACCCCGCGGGCUGGGAAGGACCUUCAGCAUUACUCAAGCCCGCGCGCCGUGCCGGGGCUCCUGCCCGCUCCUUACCUGGUGAAUCGGACCUUGCAGAUGUCGCACUCGUAGGGCUUCUCGCCGGUGUGGGUGCGGAUGUGGCGCGGCAGCUUGCCGGCCCCCUGGAUCACCUUUUCACAGAUGGGGCACUUUUGGAAUGCUUUCGCCCUGAUCUUCUUCUCCACCUUCUGGGACCAGGACGGGUAGACGUCGCCCUC
Non-coding RNA from Anas platyrhynchos (mallard), 1045 nucleotides. NCBI's taxonomy places the organism in Eukaryota, Metazoa, Chordata, Aves, Anseriformes, Anatidae. The record is from RefSeq and is a predicted model, not a curated record.